This 515-nucleotide ribosomal RNA is filed under the name uncultured bacterium. Its description in RNAcentral is "bacterial SSU rRNA". It matches the Rfam family "Bacterial small subunit ribosomal RNA", at positions 8 to 518 of the family's 1533-position model. The record is from RNAcentral.
AGAGUUGAUCAUGGCUCAGGAUGAACGCUAGCGACAGGCUUAACACAUGCAAGUCGAGGGGCAGCAUAAAAGUAGCAAUACUUGGUGGCGACCGGCGCACGGGUGAGUAACGCGUAUGCAACCUACCUAUCAGAGGGGAAUAACCCGGCGAAAGUCGGACUAAUACCGCAUAAAACAGGGGCACCACAUGGUGAUAUUUGUUAAAGAAAUUCGCUGAUAGAUGGGCAUGCGUUCCAUUAGGUAGUUGGUGAGGUAACGGCUCACCAAGCCGACGAUGGAUAGGGAACUGAGAGGUUGGUCCCCCACACUGGUACUGAGACACGGACCAGACUCCUACGGGAGGCAGCAGUGAGGAAUAUUGGUCAAUGGGCGAGAGCCUGAACCAGCCAAGUCGCGUGAAGGAAGAAGGAUCUAUGGUUCGUAAACUUCUUUUGCAGGGGAAUAAAGUGCAGGACGUGUCCUGUUUUGUAUGUACCCUGAGAAUAAGGAUCGGCUAACUCCGUGCCAGCCGCCGC